AUGUCGUCGUCGUCGGCGGCGCCGAUCGGCCUGUCGUGGGCGCCCCAGCUGCCAUCCCUUGCGGCGGCCGGCGGCAGCAAGAAGGGCUCGGCGCCGACACCGAGCAUUGACGCGCAGGAGUCCCUCUGGAAGCCCAGCAACGAGCUCGUGGACGGGCUCUACGUGCCCCCGAGGGACCCCAGGAAGGUCAACAAGAUGGCGAGGAAGAACGUCAAGGACACCACCGGCAAGGGCUGGUUCGACAUGCCGGCGCCGAGCAUCACUCCCGAGUUGAAGAAAGACCUUGAGAUUUUGCAGCUGAGGCAUGUAAUGGACCCUAAAAGGCAUUUCAAGAGGUCUGGUAAAUCCAAGGCUCUUCCGAAGUAUUUCCAAGUUGGAACGGUUAUUGAGCCUGCAUCUGAGUUCUACUCAAGUAGGUUGACAAAGCAUGAACGGAAGCAGACCUUGGUUGAUGAGCUGUUAUCUGACCAAAAACUCAAGAACUACAGGAUGCGUAAGGUAAGGGAAAUUCAGGUGGCCCGGACACCCGGAGGCAACCAGAAGUGGAAGAACAAGGGCAAGCAAACGUUCAAAAGGGCCAAGGACAGGCGGAAAUAG
This 597-nucleotide ribosomal RNA is filed under the name Triticum aestivum (bread wheat). RNAcentral's name for it is "partial small subunit ribosomal RNA". Lineage: Eukaryota; Viridiplantae; Streptophyta; Magnoliopsida; Poales; Poaceae. The record is from RNAcentral.